UAUUUGUUUUGUAUGUAUUUUGAUAGUUUGUUUUAAUGCCGAGUCGCUCGUACACAGGAAUUUGUGGACAUUUUGUGGGAGUGUUCUGGGCGUUACUGCAUCCUUGCUUUGUAGAUAAGUGGGCCAGUUAGCCAGAUUAAACACAUUCGUUUCUACCCUUAAUCAAGUCUAGGCUGAUGUUUGGGGAAUUGGGAGCUAUAAUCACUGCUUCACUGGGAGUUUGGGAGAACUACAGUGGAUAUACUCAGCCGGAGUAUAGGGGAUCCGUUACACAAAC
Molecule: non-coding RNA, 277 nt
Organism: Pelobates cultripes (western spadefoot toad)
Lineage: Eukaryota; Metazoa; Chordata; Amphibia; Anura; Pelobatidae
Source: the annotation of a GenBank genome assembly